UGAUCCUGGCUCAGAUUGAACGCUGGCGGCAGGCCUAACACAUGCAAGUCGAACGGUAGCAUAUCUUGCUUGCAAGAUGAUGACGAGUGGCGGACGGGUGAGUAAUACUUAGGAACAUGCCUUUGAGUGGGGGAUAACUAUUGGAAACGAUAGCUAAUACCGCAUAACGUCUACGGACCAAAGGGGGCUUCGGCUCUCGCUCAGAGAGUGGCCUAAGCGAGAUUAGCUAGUUGGUGAGGUAAAGGCUCACCAAGGCGACGAUCUCUAGCUGUUCUGAGAGGAAGAUCAGCCACACUGGGACUGAGACACGGCCCAGACUCCUACGGGAGGCAGCAGUGGGGAAUAUUGCACAAUGGGGGGAACCCUGAUGCAGCCAUGCCGCGUGUGUGAAGAAGGCCUUAGGGUUGUAAAGCACUUUCAGUUGUGAGGAAAGGUUUGAGGUUAACAAUUUCAAGCUGUGACGUUAGCAACAGAAGAAGCACCGGCUAACUCCGUGCCAGCAGCCGCGGUAAUACGGAGGGUGCGAGCGUUAAUCGGAAUUACUGGGCGUAAAGCGCACGCAGGCGGUUACAUAAGCCAGAUGUGAAAGCCCCGGGCUUAACCUGGGACGGUCAUUUGGAACUGUGUAACUAGAGUCUUGGAGAGGGGAGUGGAAUUCCAGGUGUAGCGGUGAAAUGCGUAGAUAUCUGGAGGAACAUCAGUGGCGAAGGCGACUCCCUGGCCAAAGACUGACGCUCAUGUGCGAAAGUGUGGGUAGCGAACAGGAUUAGAUACCCUGGUAGU
RNAcentral lists this ribosomal RNA (783 nucleotides) under uncultured marine bacterium. RNAcentral describes it as "bacterial SSU rRNA". It matches the Rfam family "Bacterial small subunit ribosomal RNA", at positions 14 to 794 of the family's 1533-position model. The record is from RNAcentral.